RNAcentral lists this ribosomal RNA (231 nucleotides) under uncultured bacterium. Its description in RNAcentral is "partial 16S ribosomal RNA". It matches the Rfam family "Bacterial small subunit ribosomal RNA", at positions 28 to 260 of the family's 1533-position model. The record is from RNAcentral.
GACGAACGCUGGCGGCGUGCUUAACACAUGCAAGUCGAGCGGUAAGGCCCUUUCGGGGGUACACGAGCGGCGAACGGGUGAGUAACACGUGGGUGACCUGCCCUCAGCUCUGGGAUAAGCCUGGGAAACUGGGUCUAAUACUGGAUAUGACUCCACGGUGCAUGUCGUGGGGUGGAAAGCCUUGUGCGGCUGAGGAUGGGCCCGCGGCCUAUCAGCUUGUUGGUGGGGUGA